This 73-nucleotide transfer RNA is filed under the name Sphaerodactylus townsendi. RNAcentral describes it as "tRNA-Ala". It matches the Rfam family "tRNA". From Rfam's summary of the family: Transfer RNA (tRNA) molecules are approximately 80 nucleotides in length. Lineage: Eukaryota; Metazoa; Chordata; Lepidosauria; Squamata; Sphaerodactylidae. The record is from RNAcentral.
GGAGGCUGUGGCUCAGUGGUACAGCAUCUGCUUGGCACGUGGAAGGUUCCAGGUUCGAUUCCUGACACUUCCA